RNAcentral lists this ribosomal RNA (253 nucleotides) under uncultured bacterium. RNAcentral's name for it is "partial 16S ribosomal RNA". It matches the Rfam family "Bacterial small subunit ribosomal RNA", at positions 524 to 776 of the family's 1533-position model. The record is from RNAcentral.
UACGUAGGUGACCAGCGUUGUCCGGAUUUACUGGGCGUAAAGAGCGCGUAGGCGGUCGUUCAAGUCGAGUGUGAAAGCCCCCGGCUCAACUGGGGAGGGUCACUCGAUACUGAUCGACUUGAAGGCAGGAGAGGGAAGCGGAAUUCCCGGUGUAGUGGUGAAAUGCGUAGAUAUCGGGAGGAACACCAGUGGCGAAGGCGGCUUCCUGGGCUGUUCUUGACGCUGAGGCGCGAAAGCUAGGGGAGCGAACGGG